GAUGAACGCUAGCUACAGGCUUAACACAUGCAAGUCGAGGGGCAGCAUGGUCUUAGCUUGCUAAGGCCGAUGGCGACCGGCGCACGGGUGAGUAACACGUAUCCAACCUGCCGUCUACUCUUGGACAGCCUUCUGAAAGGAAGAUUAAUACAAGAUGGCAUCAUGAGUCCGCAUGUUCACAUGAUUAAAGGUAUUCCGGUAGACGAUGGGGAUGCGUUCCAUUAGAUAGUAGGCGGGGUAACGGCCCACCUAGUCUUCGAUGGAUAGGGGUUCUGAGAGGAAGGUCCCCCACAUUGGGUACUGAGACACGGCCCAGACUCCUACGGGAGGCAGCAGUAGGGAAUCUUCGGCAAUGGGGGCAACCCUGACCGAGCAACGCCGCGUGAGUGAAGAAGGUUUUCGGAUCGUAAAGCUCUGUUGUAAGAGAAGAACGUGUGU
Molecule: ribosomal RNA, 438 nt
Filed under: uncultured bacterium
Lineage: Bacteria
Description: bacterial SSU rRNA
Rfam family: Bacterial small subunit ribosomal RNA
Source: RNAcentral